Molecule: ribosomal RNA, 757 nt
Filed under: uncultured earthworm cast bacterium
Lineage: Bacteria
Description: bacterial SSU rRNA
Rfam family: Bacterial small subunit ribosomal RNA
Source: RNAcentral
GCAGAACAGCUGGCGGCGUGCUUAACACAUGCAAGUCGAGCGGAAAGGCCCUUCGGGGUACUCGAGCGGCGAACGGGUGAGUAACACGUGAGCAACCUGCCCUGGACUUUGGGAUAACCCUCGGAAACGGGGGCUAAUACCGAAUAUGACAUCUCAUCGCAUGGUGGGGUGUGGAAAGUUUUUCGGUCUGGGAUGGGCUCGCGGCCUAUCAGCUUGUUGGUGGGGUAAUGGCCUACCAAGGCGACGACGGGUAGCCGGCCUGAGAGGGCGACCGGCCACACUGGGACUGAGACACGGCCCAGACUCCUACGGGAGGCAGCAGUGGGGAAUAUUGCACAAUGGGCGGAAGCCUGAUGCAGCGACGCCGCGUGAGGGAUGACGGCCUUCGGGUUGUAAACCUCUUUCAGCAGGGACGAAGCGAGAGUGACGGUACCUGCAGAAGAAGCGCCGGCCAACUACGUGCCAGCAGCCGCGGUAAGACGUAGGGCGCGAGCGUUGUCCGGAUUUAUUGGGCGUAAAGAGCUCGUAGGCGGCUUGUCGCGUCGACUGUGAAAACCCGCGGCUCAACUGCGGGCUUGCAGCCGAUACGGGCAGGCUAGAGUUCGGUAGGGGAGACUGGAAUUCCUGGUGUAGCGGUGAAAUGCGCAGAUAUCAGGAGGAACACCGGUGGCGAANGCGGGUCUCUGGGCCGAUACUGACGCUGAGGAGCGAAAGCGUGGGGAGCGAACAGGAUUAGAUACCCUGGUAGUCCACGCUG